This 489-nucleotide ribosomal RNA is filed under the name uncultured bacterium. RNAcentral's name for it is "partial 16S ribosomal RNA". It matches the Rfam family "Bacterial small subunit ribosomal RNA", at positions 29 to 507 of the family's 1533-position model. The record is from RNAcentral.
AUGCACGCUAGCUACAGGCUUCACCCCUGCCAGUCGCGGUGCAGCAUGGGGGUUGCUUGCAAUCCCCGAUGGCGACCGGCGCACGGGUGAGUAACGCGUAUCCAACCUGCCCUUCACCACGGGAUAACCCGGCGAAAGUCGGACUAAUACCGUAUGUUGUCCAUUGACGGCAUCCGAUUUGGACGAAAGGCUUGGCGGUGAGGGAUGGGGAUGCGUCCGAUUAGCCAGACGGCGGGGUAACGGCCCACCGUGGCUACGAUCGGUAGGGGUUCUGAGAGGAAGGUCCCCCACACUGGAACUGAGACACGGUCCAGACUCCUACGGGAGGCAGCAGUGAGGAAUAUUGGUCAAUGGGCGUAAGCCUGAACCAGCCAAGUAGCGUGCAGGAUGACGGCCCUAUGGGUUGUAAACUGCUUUUAUGCGGGGAUAAAGUGGCCCACGUGUGGGCUUUUGCAGGUACCGCAUGAAUAAGGACCGGCUAAUUCCGUG